This 440-nucleotide ribosomal RNA is filed under the name uncultured bacterium. Its description in RNAcentral is "partial 16S ribosomal RNA". It matches the Rfam family "Bacterial small subunit ribosomal RNA", at positions 338 to 795 of the family's 1533-position model. The record is from RNAcentral.
CCUACGGGAGACAGCAGUGGGGGAUAUUGCACAAUGGGGGGAACCCUGAUGCAGCGACGCCGCGUGUGGGAAGACGGUCCUCUGGAUUGUAAACCACUGUCCCCAGGGACGAAAAUGACGGUACCUGGGGAGGAAGCUACGGCUAACUACGUGCCAGCAGCCGCGGUAAUACGUAGGGAGCGAGCGUAGUCCGGAAUUACUGGGUGUAAAGGGAGCGUAGGCGGGGAUGCAAGUUGGGUGUCAAAACUACCGGCUCAACUGGUAGUCGCACUCAAAACUGCAGCUCUUGAGUGAAGUAGAGGCAGGCGGAAUGCCUAGUGUAGCGGUGAAAUGCGUAGAUAUUAGGAGGAACACCAGUGGCGAAGGCGGCCUGCUGGGCUUUUACUGACGCUGAGGCUCGAAAGUGUGGGGAGCAAACAGGAUUAGAUACCCGGGUAGUC